This 449-nucleotide ribosomal RNA is filed under the name uncultured bacterium. Its description in RNAcentral is "partial 16S ribosomal RNA". It matches the Rfam family "Bacterial small subunit ribosomal RNA", at positions 29 to 523 of the family's 1533-position model. The record is from RNAcentral.
AAUGAACGCUGGCGGCAGGCCUAACACAUGCAAGUCGAACGGAUCCUUCGGGAUUAGUGGCGGACGGGUGAGUAACGCGUGGGAACAUACCCUUUGGUACGGAAUAGCCUCGGGAAACUGGGAGUAAUACCGUAUGUGGUCGAGAGACGAAAGAUUUAUCGCCAAAGGAUUGGCCCGCGUUGGAUUAGGUAGUUGGUGGGGUAAUGGCCUACCAAGCCGACGAUCCAUAGCUGGUUUGAGAGGAUGAUCAGCCACGCUGGGACUGAGACACGGCCCAGACUCCUACGGGAGGCAGCAGUGGGGAAUCUUAGACAAUGGGGGAAACCCUGAUCUAGCCGUGCCGCGUGAUCGAUGAAGGCCUCAGGGUUGUAAAGAUCUUUCAGGUGGGAAGAUAAUGACUGUACCACCAGAAGAAGCCCCGGCUAACUCCGUGCCAGCCGCCGCAGUAA